This 500-nucleotide ribosomal RNA is filed under the name uncultured bacterium. RNAcentral's name for it is "partial 16S ribosomal RNA". It matches the Rfam family "Bacterial small subunit ribosomal RNA", at positions 28 to 507 of the family's 1533-position model. The record is from RNAcentral.
GACGAACGCUGGCGGCGUGCUUAACACAUGCAAGUCGAACGGGUCUGCCCUGUUUUUUGCGGGGUGGGUCAGUGGCGAACGGGUGAGUAACACGUGAGUAACCUGCCCCUCACUUCUGGAUAACCGCUUGAAAGGGUGGCUAAUACGGGGUGUUCUGGCUGUGCCGCAUGGUGUGGCUGGGAAAGAUUCACUUUUGUGGUGUUUUGGUGGGGGAUGGGCUCGCGGCCUAUCAGCUUGUUGGUGGGGUGAUGGCCUGCCAAGGCUUUGACGGGUAGCCGGCCUGGGAGGGUGGGCGGUCACACUGGGACUGAGAUACGGCCCAGACUCCUGCGGGAGGCAGCAGUGGGGGGUAUUGCACAAUGGGCGGAAGCCUGAUGCAGCGACGUCGCGUGAGGGAUGGAGGCCUUCGGGUUGUGAACCUUUUUCGCCGGUGAAGAAGGUCCUGCUCUUUGUGGUGGGGUUGACGGUAGCCGGGUUAUGAAGCGCCGGCUAACUACGUG